Molecule: ribosomal RNA, 253 nt
Filed under: uncultured bacterium
Lineage: Bacteria
Description: partial 16S ribosomal RNA
Rfam family: Bacterial small subunit ribosomal RNA
Source: RNAcentral
UACGUAGGUGGCAAGCGUUGUCCGGAUUUACUGGGCGUAAAGAGCGCGCAGGCGGUCGGAUAAGUCGAGUGUGAAAGCCCCUGGCUCAACCAGGGAGGGUCAUUCGAUACUGUUCGACUCGAAGGCAGGAGAGGGAAGCGGAAUUCCGGGUGUAGUGGUGAAAUGCGUAGAUAUCGGGAAGAACACCCGUGGCGAAGGCGGCUCUCUGGGACGGUACUGACGCUGAGACGCGAAAGCGUGGGGAGCGAACAGG